Molecule: long non-coding RNA, 949 nt
Organism: Anguilla rostrata (American eel)
Lineage: Eukaryota; Metazoa; Chordata; Actinopteri; Anguilliformes; Anguillidae
Exons: 3
Source: RefSeq, a predicted model, not a curated record
GAGGGAGGGCUGGCAGUUUGUAUGGGCAAGGCUGGGAGUAACACUACUGCUGCAGGUGCUGGGAAUCUAGAACUGGCAAGUCUAGCUACAGUAAGUAGGCCAGGUUGGAAUACUCAACUUUAUUCCCAUCAUUGCAGUUCCAUCAAGUCAGGAGACAACAGACAGCUCCCGGGCUGCCUCUUCAACGCAGUUCCGGUGGGUUCGAGAUGUGAAGUCGCAGCCUGUCUCCAAUCUUAAUAUGUGCAGAGUGGCGACUGUAAACAACUGCACUUACUGGAGCACAAGCCCAACCUGAAACAACAGCAGACAGGCGUUUACAAUGCAAUACAACAUCAUAAAUACGCUCUUACAUUUUCUUUGUCGAUAAAAGAUAUGUAGACUGCUACACUACGAUGCUACAGCAAGUGACAAAACCAUAUAAGGGUGGACCAACUCCAUAUUAAUACCCAUAAUUUUGGAUGAGAUGUUGGAUGUCAGGUGUCCAAAAACUUUUGGCCAUGUAGUGUAUGUCUGUCAUGGAUGGACGGACAGACGGACGGUCAUUACAUAACCUAGGUGGAGGUAAAGACCCUGCCCUACCUUACUUUUCAAUGAUUCAAACUAUUUAAAAAUGAUUCAGCAAUUUAUUUUAUUUACUUAUAGCUUUGUGAAAACAUAAUUAGAAACAAGAAUCGUAAGAGAUGGGAAAGUAAGACUUUUACACUUUCAAGGCUUUUAACUUUAACUCGAUGCCUGGCCUGGGCUUCUAGAAUGAAAUGCUAUUCUGUCUGUAACUGUCGACACCCUUUUGACAAAGACAACCGCAUAUCCUGCUGAGCCCCCUCACCUUUUCAGGGUCCAUUGGUGGACACUUCCAGUUGUACAGGUAAUACUGCAGGUUCCCAUCUCCUAUACCAAAUUUCAGCUUUUCCAGGAAUGUCUUGUUCUCCAUUAGAUCCAGUGCAUUGAA